CCAAUAGCGUAUAUGAAAGGUGUUGCAGUUAAAAAGCUCGUAGUUGAAUUUCGGGAUUAGUACGCUGGGCGUGCCUUCGGUAUGUACUGGUGUUACUGGUUCCUACCUCCUGACGAACCGUCAUGUCAUUAAUUUGGUGUGGCGGGGAAUCAGGACUGUUACUUUGAAAAAAUUAGAGUGUUUAAAGCAGGCUCGCGCUUGAAUACAUUAGCAUGGAAUAAUGAAAUAGGACGUUCGAUCCUAUUUUGUUGGUUUCUAGGAUUGACGUAAUGAUUAAUAGGGAUAGUUGGGGGCAUUAGUAUUCAAUUGUCAGAGGUGAAAUUCUUGGAUUUAUUGAAGACUAACUACUGCGAAAGCAUUUGCCAAGGAUGUUUUCAUUAAUCAAGAACGAAAGUUAGGGGAUCGAAGACGAUCAGAUACCGUCGUAGUCUUAACCAUAAACUAUGCCGACUAGGGAUCGGAUGAUGUUAAUUUUUUAAUGACUCAUUCGGCGCCUUACG
This 500-nucleotide ribosomal RNA is filed under the name uncultured Glomeromycotina. RNAcentral's name for it is "partial small subunit ribosomal RNA". It matches the Rfam family "Eukaryotic small subunit ribosomal RNA", at positions 591 to 1092 of the family's 1831-position model. Lineage: Eukaryota; Fungi; Glomeromycota. The record is from RNAcentral.